GGUUAAGCGACUAAGCGUACACGGUGGAUGCCCUGGCAGUCAGAGGCGAUGAAGGACGUGCUAAUCUGCGAAAAGCGUCGGUAAGGUGAUAUGAACCGUUACAGCCGGCGAUGUCCGAAUGGGGAAACCCAGUGCAAUUCGUUGCACUAUCGUUAACUGAAUACAUAGGUUAACGAGGCGAACCGGGGGAACUGAAACAUCUAAGUACCCCGAGGAAAAGAAAUCAACCGAGAUUCCCCCAGUAGCGGCGAGCGAACGGGGAGCAGCCCGGAGUCUGAAUCAGCUUGUGUGUUAGUGGAAGCGUCUGGAAAGUCGCAGGGUACAGGGUGAUACUCCCGUACACUAAAACACACAGGUUGUGAACUCGAAGAGUAGGGCGGGACACGUGGUAUCCUGUCUGAAUAUGGGGGGACCAUCCUCCAAGGCUAAAUACUCCUGACUGACCGAUAGUGAACCAGUACCGUGAGGGAAAGGCGAAAAGAACCCCGGCGAGGGGAGUGAAAAAGAACCUGAAACCGUGUACGUACAAGCAGUAGGAGCCCCACCACCAAAGCGUUUCGCUUUGCGUGGUGCGCAAAAUGCGUAACGACAGCAUGAUGGACGGUUAACGGAGCGUCAGCGACGUUCAACCUCAAAAAUCAGGCAGUGGAGCGUUUUGGGGUGGGGUGACUGCGUACCUUUUGUAUAAUGGGUCAGCGACUUAUAUUCUGUAGCAAGGUUAACCGUAUAGGGGAGCCGCAGGGAAACCGAGUCUUAACUGGGCGUUAAGUUGCAGGGUAUAGACCCGAAACCCGGUGAUCUAGCCAUGGGCAGGUUGAAGGUUGGGUAACACUAACUGGAGGACCGAACCGACUAAUGUUGAAAAAUUAGCGGAUGACUUGUGGCUGGGGGUGAAAGGCCAAUCAAACCGGGAGAUAGCUGGUUCUCCCCGAAAGCUAUUUAGGUAGCGCCUCGUGAAUUCAUCUUCGGGGGUAGAGCACUGUUUCGGCUAGGGGGUCAUCCCGACUUACCAACCCGAUGCAAACUACGAAUACCGAAGAAUGUUAUCACGGGAGACACACGGCGGGUGCUAACGUCCGUCGUGAAGAGGGAAACAACCCAGACCGCCAGCUAAGGUCCCAAAGUCAUGGUUAAGUGGGAAACGAUGUGGGAAGGCCCAGACAGCCAGGAUGUUGGCUUAGAAGCAGCCAUCAUUUAAAGAAAGCGUAAUAGCUCACUGGUCGAGUCGGCCUGCGCGGAAGAUGUAACGGGGCUAAACCAUGCACCGAAGCUGCGGCAGCGACACUAUGUGUUGUUGGGUAGGGGAGCGUUCUGUAAGCCGUUGAAGGUGGCCUGUGAGGGUUGCUGGAGGUAUCAGAAGUGCGAAUGCUGACAUAAGUAACGAUAAUGCGGGUGAAAAACCCGCACGCCGGAAGACCAAGGGUUCCUGUCCAACGUUAAUCGGGGCAGGGUGAGUCGACCCCUAAGGCGAGGCCGAAAGGCGUAGUCGAUGGGAAACAGGUUAAUAUUCCUGUACUUGGUGUUACUGCGAAGGGGGGACGGAGAAGGCUAUGUUGGCCGGGCGACGGUUGUCCCGGUUUAAGCAUGUAGGCGGAUGUUCCAGGUAAAUCCGGAACGUUAUUAACGCUGAGGUGUGAUGACGAGGCACUACGGUGCUGAAGUGACAAAUGCCCUGCUUCCAGGAAAAGCCUCUAAGCAUCAGGUAACAUCAAAUCGUACCCCAAACCGACACAGGUGGUCAGGUAGAGAAUACCAAGGCGCUUGAGAGAACUCGGGUGAAGGAACUAGGCAAAAUGGUGCCGUAACUUCGGGAGAAGGCACGCUGAUGGUAGGUGAAGUGACUUGCUCAUGGAGCUGAAAUCAGUCGAAGAUACCAGCUGGCUGCAACUGUUUAUUAAAAACACAGCACUGUGCAAACACGAAAGUGGACGUAUACGGUGUGACGCCUGCCCGGUGCCGGAAGGUUAAUUGAUGGGGUUAUCCUCGCGGAGAAGCUCUUGAUCGAAGCCCCGGUAAACGGCGGCCGUAACUAUAACGGUCCUAAGGUAGCGAAAUUCCUUGUCGGGUAAGUUCCGACCUGCACGAAUGGCGUAAUGAUGGCCAGGCUGUCUCCACCCGAGACUCAGUGAAAUUGAACUCGCUGUGAAGAUGCAGUGUACCCGCGGCAAGACGGAAAGACCCCGUGAACCUUUACUAUAGCUUGACACUGAACACUGGUCCUUGAUGUGUAGGAUAGGUGGGAGGCUUUGAAGUGUGGACGCCAGUCUGCAUGGAGCCAUCCUUGAAAUACCACCCUUUAAUGGCUGGUGUUCUAACGUGGGCCCGUGAUCCGGGUUGCGGACAGUGUCUGGUGGGUAGUUUGACUGGGGCGGUCUCCUCCUAAAGAGUAACGGAGGAGCACGAAGGUCAGCUAAUCCUGGUCGGACAUCAGGAGGUUAGUGCAAUGGCAUAAGCUGGCUUGACUGCGAGCGUGACGGCGCGAGCAGGUGCGAAAGCAGGUCAUAGUGAUCCGGUGGUUCUGAAUGGAAGGGCCAUCGCUCAACGGAUAAAAGGUACUCCGGGGAUAACAGGCUGAUACCGCCCAAGAGUUCAUAUCGACGGCGGUGUUUGGCACCUCGAUGUCGGCUCAUCACAUCCUGGGGCUGAAGUAGGUCCCAAGGGUAUGGCUGUUCGCCAUUUAAAGUGGUACGCGAGCUGGGUUUAGAACGUCGUGAGACAGUUCGGUCCCUAUCUGCCGUGGGCGCUGGAGAAUUGAGGGGGGCUGCUCCUAGUACGAGAGGACCGGAGUGGACGCAUCACUGGUGUUCGGGUUGUCAUGCCAAUGGCAUUGCCCGGUAGCUAAAUGCGGAAGAGAUAAGUGCUGAAAGCAUCUAAGCACGAAACUUGCCCCGAGAUGAGUUCUCCCUGACCCUUUAAGGGUCCUGAAGGAACGUUGAAGACGACGACGUUGAUAGGCCGGGUGUGUAAGCGCAGCGAUGCGUUGAGCUAACCGGUACUAAUGAACCGUGAGGCUUAACCUU
This 3020-nucleotide ribosomal RNA is filed under the name Klebsiella oxytoca. Its description in RNAcentral is "23S ribosomal RNA". It matches the Rfam family "Bacterial large subunit ribosomal RNA". Lineage: Bacteria; Pseudomonadati; Pseudomonadota; Gammaproteobacteria; Enterobacterales; Enterobacteriaceae. The record is from RNAcentral.